CGUGGGGGCAUCACGUUUGCAUGGAUAACACAUUUUAUGAACUAAAUGCGUCUACUGUAGAAUAGUGGUCACGUGACCUCCAUACAGGGCCUGCUGUCUGUUUUCAGUGGAGGGAGAUAUCCGAAGAAAAAUGGCGACUGCAGGCGACCUAAAGCGGGACGCCGGCCAUUCUAUUUGAACAUUCUACUAAAAAUUGAGCCCGGGGCUUGGUGGGGCUAAUUGUGACUAUCGCAACGUUGGUUAGGGUUUCCGAGGUUGCCCGGUUUCUCGGGUUUGUGUGGACUAGUCGCGCGCUAAAAUUGAAAUUAAAAAUAAUACAUCUGCUACAAUGCGAGGGAGAAGAGGAAGGCCGCCCAAACAGGCAGCGGAGAUGCAGGAGGUUUCCCCUGGGCCAGUUCGCGGUUCAAGAGGGAGAGGGAGAGGUAACCGUGGUAGGGGAAGGGGCCGAGGACGUGGCCGCGGACGGGGUUCGGUGGUGGAUACCGGCGAUACAGAAAUUCAUCGGAGAGAAAACUACCAUUCGUCCAGGGGCCGGAGGAAAGUUGGAGCAGCGACGACAUCGCGGGGCAGAGGAAGAGGCAGGGGUUCGAGAGGUGGUCGCGGCAGCAGGGGGAGACGGCCACUGUGCAAGGUGGUCUACGAUGACAACAGCGACGAGGAAGAGGAUAAUAUUAGUUUGAGGUCGGAGGAAGACGAACUUUUACACGAGAAUCCUUCCUCAGACUACGAAGAGGAGGCCGUGGACAAUGAGUCCGAUUUUCUGGAAGAAUUACCAGAUGAGGAUGAUGCUAGCUACUGUACAGAUAGCAGCUUUCGGAGCCAUGAUAGCACGCACGGCAGCACUCCAGGCCGGAGGGGCAGACACCCGCACCGGCCCCGCUCGCCCAUCUUUGAGGCCAAGGAGGUGCCCUCCCUGGAGCUGCCCAAGUCCUCAGAUGACUUGCUGGUGCCGGCCAAUCAGCUCCUCAACAUCUCGGCCGUCUAUGAGGUGCUGCGCAACUUCGGCUCGGUCCUGCGCCUCUCGCCGUUCCGCUUCGAGGACUUUUGUGCAGCGCUGGCAGGCCAGGAGCAGUGCACCCUGCUGGCUGAGACCCACACCGCCCUGCUCAAGGCCAUCCUGCGCGAGGAGGACACGUCCAACACCACGUUCGGUCCUGCCGACCUCAAGGACAGCGUCAACUCCACACUCUACUUCAUCGACGGCAUGACCUGGCCCGAGAUGGUGCGCGCCUACUGCGAGAGUGACCCAGAGUACCGGCAGGUGCUCCCUUUACUGGAGGGCGAGGAGUACCCCUACGAGCCCCUCGAGAGCAAAAUUAAGGUCCUUCAAUUCCUUGUGGACCAGUUCCUGGCCACCAACUUGGCUAGAGAAGAGUUAAUGUCGGAGGGGGUGGUGGCGUACGACGACCACUGCAGGGUGUGCCACCGGCUGGGGGACCUCCUCUGCUGCGAGACGUGCUCUGCCGUCUACCACCUGGAGUGCGUGAAGCCACCGCUGGUGGAGGUACCCGAGGACGAGUGGCAGUGCGAGGUGUGCGUGGCACACAAAGUGCCUGGCGUGGUGGACUGUGUGACAGAGGCGCAGAAGAGCAGGCCAUACAUCCGCCAGCUGCCAAUCGGCUAUGACCGCCACCGCCGCAAGUACUGGUUCCUGGACCGCCGCGUCGUGGUUGAGGAGGAUGGUGAGCAGGAGGACAAGACCAUCUGGUACUACAGCACCAAGGUGCAGCUGGCUGAGCUGAUUGACUGCCUGGACAAGGGCUACUGGGAGGCCGACCUGUACGCCACGCUGGAAGAGAUCAGGGACGAGGUGCACACGCACAUGGACAUCACCGAGGAGCUCACCAACAAGGCCCGUGGCGUCAACAAGUGCUUCCUCACCGCUGCCAACGAGGAGAUCCUGGACCGGCUGAGGGCCAAGCAGGAGGAGGAGCUGGAGGAGGUGAAGCGCCGGGCGGCCGAGGAGAGGGAGAAGGCGGAGGCGCAGAAAACUCUCCGGAAGGAGGAGGAGACGGAGGGGGGAGAGCCCAAGGAGAAAACUGAUGAACUCCAGAAGAAGGGAGAUGAGGUGGGAGCAGGGGAGGGUAAGGCUGAGAAGGACAAUGACCAGGCGACCAAGGAGGGGACCACAAUUACAGCUGAGCUGGCUCCCUCUACUGGUGAGGGCUCCAUCCCUGAGGGAAGUAAUCCUGAUCUUCUGGCUCCACAACCCACCCUCCCCGCAACAGAGGACCCCAGCCCUGCCGUGGGGGGGCAAGACCUCCCUACCGGUGCCCGAGAGCCUGGGGACGAGGCCCUAACCAACAUGAAGGGAAUGCAGGAGGCUGAAGAGAAGGCAGGUUCUUUGUCUAGCUCUCCCAGGGGAGAGGGGGUCCCCAGCCUGAGCCAGCCCUCUCAGCCCGGUGGUGAGGAGAACAGCAACAGCAGCACCAUUGCCAGGGAGGCCCCCAGGGUCCCGGAGGAGCCCGACCUAGCCGACAGGUCCUCUCAGUCUUCUAUCAACAGCCAGGACGACCAGGGGGUGAACGGCGAGACUGGUGGCAAGCGGACGGUAGUCACUCCGGGCGGCCGCAUGGUGACCCGCCUGCGUAACCCGGAGAGUAAGCUGAGCCAGCUGAAGAGCAAGAAGGUGGAGGAAGCCGUUCACGAGGCCAACAAGGGCUACAAGGAGGGCAAAGAGGUGCUGGUGGUGACCCCGGCGGGCGAUGUGUCGCGCCUCAGCACGCGCAGCCUAACAAGCAAGGAGGUGGUGAUGAAGGGCACACUCAGCCACUUCUUCAAGCUGGGCCAGGAGGGCAAGUUCCGCGUCUACCACAACCAAUACAGCGGAAAUACGCUGGCCCUCAACAAGCCCCAGCACCGGGAGGACCUGGACAAGCGGCGACACCUCUCGCACAAGUUUUGCAUGACGCCGGCAGGCGACUUCAAGUGGAACGGCUCCAUCCACGGCUCUAAAGUGCUGACCAUCUCCACUCUGCGCCUCACCAUCAUCCAGCUAGAGACCAAUGUGCCCGCACCCUUCAUGCACCCCAACUGGGCCUCACACAGGAACAACUGGAUUAAGGCGGUGCAGAUGUGCAGUAAGGCCAGGGAGUUUGCCCUGGCCAUGGCCAUCUUGGAGUGUGCCAUCAAACCUGUGGCCCUGCUCCCUGUCUGGAAGGACUCUCUGGGACACACCAGGCUACACCGUAUGACAUCAAUGGAGCGGGAGGAGAAGGAGAAGGUGAAGAAGAGGGAGAAGAAGCUGGAGGACGAGGAGACCAUGCAGCAGGCCACCUGGGUCAAGUACACAUUUCCCAUCAAGCACCAGGUGUGGAAGCAGAAGGGAGAGGAGUAUCGUGUGACGGGCUGGGGCGGCUGGAGCUGGAUCAGCAAGACGCACGUGCACUGCUUCCUGACCAAGCUGCCCGGCAACACAAACGCCAACUACCGCGCCGAGCUGGAAGCUGCCAGAUGUGGUGAGAAAUGCAACUUGCUGGACUUGGGUCCGAGGCCAAGGUUGUUCAAAACAACUGUAGCUUCAGAACCCCAGGGAAGCAGAAGACCCGUAGAGAAAGAUGGGGGUGCUGCCACCACCACGACCACCCCAGAGCCCUCAGCAGACCGCCUGUCGGGAGAGAAGAUGAAGGAAAAGCUAGAGGAGGGAAAGAAAGAAGAGAGUGACGGGCGAGCGAAAGUGAAGAUGCAAGACUCCACUGCAGAGGAGGCUGCAGAGAAGAUGGAGCCUAGCCUCUCAGACUCAGGACAAGACGAUGAAAAAGGAACCAGCAGCAGCCCAGGGACCGAGACGGAGAUGACGUGCGUGAAGCAGGAGCCCGGUGAGGGGAACGCAAGGCCCUUUAACUACGACGUGGUGGACGUGGCCCAGGGCUUCCUGACGCGUGUGGCCUACAAGAAGAAGGUCAAGGCCUCCAAGCUGGACGGUCUGCUGGAGCGGCGCGUCAAGCAGCACGCCCUGGAGGAGAAGCAGAGGGCUCAGUGCGCCCUGGCCAAGCCUACCCCAGUAAAGACCACCCUGGUCCUGCCACAGACCCCACUCCAGACCCAGAGUCCCACAGUGAAAUUGGAGUUCAGCACCCCUUCGGUGCCACCUGCACUUGCUCCAUUGUCAGUCAAAGGGGAGGUGCAGGCGGACCCUUCAAAGACCGCUGAGGGGGUCCCUCAGCCAGCCCCAGCGACCCCAGCUGAAGAAUCCCCACGAACACAAAAACAAAUGACCCCCCAGAAACAGGAGGGAGACCUCCCUGAGCGGACUAUAGGACCCACAGGGGCUGGUUCAGGGCAGGAGGGCCUUAAAAGGCCCAGCAGCACAGCGGAACCUGUGGAAACUUCAGGUGGGAUCUACUACACUGGCAGACCAUCAGAGUCUACCAGUGCCAAGCCCGUUUCCACCGAGGGUGCAAGACCUGAAGUGGCCAUUUUUAAAUCCCACUCCACAACGAUACCUCCGUGCACUAUAACCCAGGAGAGCAGCCAUAGUGCAGCUACCGUUCCUAAACCCCCCCAACAAAGCACAGAGAAGAACGGGAAGGGGCCUGAGGAGAGGCAGGACAACGGACAGAGCAGCAUCGAGGCCAUCGCCACUGGGUCCCAGCCCUCCUCUCUACCUCAGAUCAAUGGAAAUGACAGUGUGGAGGCUAAAGUCUUGACCAACUCUUUACCAACUCCAAACAAGGCCUCCAAUGCUCUCACUAACAGCUCUGAGGUCAAAGUGAACAGCCUAGGCAAGGCGGAGGGAGAGGGUCAAGUAGUCUCGCCCCUAAAGCCCCUGUUCAACGGCAAUGUGGCCCCUGUAGCCGAGAGGACCGGGCCGGACAGCACGGAACCAAGGCCAGCUCCAAGGGUAGAGUUGGAGAGCAAGGUCAUAGUGUCGGAGCAGGACUACCAGCCCCCGGUGAAGGUGGCCAGGUUGGAAAACAACGUGGAAGCGCUCGGGUCUAUGACCACCCAAAGCACCCAGCAGCUCAUCAACACCCAGCCCAUGGAAGUUAAGCCCGAUGCCACCACGCCCAACAAAAUGCCCCCCUUGUCGGUGUGCUCUGCAGAGGAGAGCAGCAACAGUGGGGUGGGAUCCCUCUGUAACACCAUACUCACCCAGGUAACCACCACAACAACCACCACCACCACGCUAUCCUCAGAGUCUCGGCUAACGGCGGGCGUCUCAAGCUCUUCGGGGACGACGGCCGCGCCCAUUGUCUCAACCACCGAGAGCAGCGCGGUGUCCACGCUCACCACCAUGACCAAAACCACCGUGACCAAAAUGCGCUCACCCACGCCCGACAGCCAAUCGGAUGAGAGCCAGAGCGAAACGGUGACCGAGUACAAGACCGCACUCCUCGCCACCCGCAAGGAGUCCUCUCGUUCAACCUCCUCUGUUUCGGGGGGCAUUACCUCGUCGACCUCCACCAAGGGCCGCGUUCGCCUCCUCAAGUUCUCGCGCACCAAGAAGACGCGCUCAGGAACCGCCUUGCCAUCCUAUCGCAAGUUUGUUACUAAGAGCCAGCGUAAGAGCAUCUUUGUCCUGCCCAACAAUGACCUGAAGAAGCUGGCACGGCGGGGUGGCAUCCGUGAGGUGUCCAUCUUCAGCUACAACGCCAAGCCGGCCCAGGACAUCUGGCCCUACCCCUCGCCCAGGCCCACCUAUGGCAUCACAUGGAGGUACCGUCUCCAGACAGUGAAGUCCCUGGCAGGGGUCAGUCUGAUGCUGAGGCUACUGUGGGCCUGUCUGAGGUGGGACGACAUGGCUGUCAAGCCCUCCGCCGCUGUAGGCACCACACGCACAGCCCUAUCCCCACUCAUUGCCACAGAGACCUCCGAGACGGAGAUCACUACCACAGAGAUUAUCAAGCGCCGCGACGUGGGGCCCUACGGCAUCCGCUCGGAAUACUGCAUCCGCAAGAUCAUCUGCCCCCUCGGGGCUCCCGAGACCCCGAAAGAGACCCACACGCCACAGAGGAAAGGCCUGCGCUCCAGCAACCUGCGGCCCAAGAAGCCAGAGCCCAAAAAGGAAACUGGGCCGGUGGUGAUUGAGUCCUGGGUUGCCGAGGAGGAAUUGGACCUCUGGGAGAUCAGGGCCUUCUCCGAGAGGGUUGAGAAAGAGAAAGCCCAGGCAGUGGAACAGGCCAAGAAGCGUCUGGACCAGAAAACUGGUGCUGGCUCUACCAUCGUCACCACCCCGGGGAGCACAGCCACCCCCGCUUCCACCCCCAAGGUAGUGACCCUAUCGGGCCAGGCCACCCCCGGAACCAAAGUGGUACUGGCCACCAAGAUGGGCACCCCUGUCACCUUCCAACAGAACAAGAACUUCCAGCAGUCGUUUGCUUCCUGGGUCAAGCAGGGGCAGCCCAGUGGAGCCUCGCCGGGCACGGUAGCCACGUCAGCCGGACAGACUUUCCAGAUCACGGGCACGUCCAUGGGGGGCAAGGUGCUCACCGCCAAGCUGCCGCUGCCCGCCAACAGCAAGAUUGUCACUGUCAACGUGCCAACCACUCAAGGAGGUAUGAUUCAGAAGCAGGUGCUGGGCAUCAUUCCCACAAGCCAAGCUGGCGGCGCCCAGACCUUCGCCUCGUUCCAGCCUCGCACCACAACCAUCAACAUCAGGCCAGGCAUGCCUGGCUCACCACAGCAGGUGCUCACCGCUGGAGGCCAGAUCCGUCCGGGGAUGACCGUGAUCCGCACGCCCAUCCAUCAGACAGGCACCAUGGGUAAGACCCUCCUCCAGACACCCCUCAUGGUGCAGCAAGGUCAGGCUGGCCAGCAGGUGGUGACCCAGAUCAUCCGUGGGCAGGCCGUGUCCACGGCCAUCUCAGGUGCCAGCCCCGUCACCACCGUGGCCGGGCAGAGGGUGGGCAGUGCCCCCAAAACCCCGGGCCAGCCCAACACGGCCCAGACACCCCAGCAGCGGGCACAGCAGGGCCAGGUCAAACUCACCCUGGCACAACUCACCCAGCUCACCCAGAAGCAGCAGAGCCAGGCAGUAGAGCGGCCAGGCGGCGGGGCCCAGGGCCUGACUGUGAUGAUCCAGGGCCAGGGCCAGGCCACGGGCCAGCUGCAGGUCAUCCCCCAGGGGGUCACGGUCAUCCCCGGGCCCGGUCAGCAGCUCAUGCAGGCGGCCAUGCCCAACGGCCAGGUCCAACGCUUCCUCUUCACCCCCAUGGCCCCUGCCGCUACCCCAACCUCCACAGCCCCUACCGCCCCGGGUCAGACCACCAAGGCCCCUGCCCAGCCCGCCCAGCAGGCUGCAGCUCCCAUCCAGGCCGGGGCCGCCCUGGCCACCAGCACCCCCCCAUCCGCCACCCCCCAGAGCCAACUCCCCUCCCAGACCCAGGCCCACAUGCCCAUCCAAUCCCCAACCCCCCUCCAGGUCAAGUCCCUCAAACACCCUCCCGGCACCCCCAUGGGCCGGCCCCAGCAGACCCUCCAGCUCCAGGGCUCCCCCCACCAGCUCAUCACCGUCCCGGGCCUCCAGCAACAGGUCCAGGUCCUGGCUCAGCUCCAGGCCCAACAGGGGACCUCCGGAGGCUCUCUCCCCCAGCAGAUCAAGCUCCAGCUUCCCAUCCAAAUACAGCAACCCGGGGUCAGUGGAGCCCAGCCUGGAGGUCCGAUCCAGAACGUGGUGACCAUCCAGACGGCCAGCGUGCAGGAGCAGCUCCAGAGGAUCCAGCAGCUGAGGGAGCAGCAGCAGCAGAAGAAGAGGCUGGCGGCCGAGGCCAAGCGGGAGCAGGCGCUGGCGGCAGCCAGUCAGAGCCACAUCAUCCAGAAACAGGUGGUGAUGAAGCAGAACGCAGUGAUCGAGCACCUCAAGCAGAAGAAGCCCAUGUCCCCCGCCGAGAGAGAGGAGAAUCAGAGGAUGAUUGUGUGCAACCAGGUGAUGAAGUUCAUCCUGGACAAGAUCGACAAGGACGAGAAGCAGGCGGUCAAGAAGAGGAAGAAGGAGGAAGCAGGCGAGCAGAAGAGGACCAAGGCCAACGCCACCAAGCUGUCGUCGCUGCUCUGCCGGCACAAGGAGACACUCAAGGCCGAGAUCCUCAAGAAGAGAGCCCUGCUGGACAAGGAGCUGCAGCUGGAGACGCAGGAUGAGCUGAGGAGGGACCUCGCCAAGCUGCGGCGGGACAAGGAAAGGGCCCAGGCCGCCGCCCACCAGGCGGCCGCCGCCGCGCACACGCAUCAUGCCCUCACACACACCUCCCAACUCAACCCGGCGGCCUUCGUCCACAAGCGGAAGCGGGAGGAGGAGAGGGACGCAGCGUCGACGGCUAACGCCAAGAAGAAGAAGAUGAUCAUCACCACUACCUCAGACAGCAAGAAGGAGACCAAGCUCUACUGUGUCUGUAGAACGCCCUACGACGAGUCCAAGUUCUACAUUGGCUGUGACCUGUGCACCAACUGGUACCACGGCGAGUGUGUGGGCGUCACCGAGAAGGACGCCAAGAAGAUGGACGACUACAUCUGCAGCGAGUGCAAGCAGGCCCAGGAGGGAAAGACCGAGGAGCUCUACUGCAUCUGCCGAACGCCCUACGACGAAGCACAGUUCUACAUCGGCUGCGACCGCUGCCAGAACUGGUACCACGGCCGUUGCGUGGGCAUCCUGCAGAGCGAGGCCAACCACAUCGACCAGUACGUGUGUCCGCAGUGCCAGUCCACAGAGGACGCCAUGACAGUGCUCACGCCGCUCACCGACAAGGAUAACGAGGGGUUAAGGAGAAUCCUGCGCUCCUUACAGGCUCACAAAAUGGCGUGGCCGUUCCUGGAGCCAGUGGACCCGAACGACGCCCCAGACUACUACGGAGUCAUUAAGGAACCAAUGGAUCUUUCUACGAUGGAGGAGCGGUUGCAGAAGCGCUACUACAUCAAGCUGACAGAGUUCGUGGCGGACAUGACCAAAGUCUUCGACAACUGCCGUUACUACAACCCCAGCGACUCGCCGUUCUACCAGAGCGCCGAGGUCCUUGAGAACUUCUUCGUCCAGAAGCUCAAAGGGUUCAAAGCCAGCAGAUUGUGAUGUCAUAAGUCUGGCCUUGUAGUUGGAAUCUGAGCUGGGUGCCGGGGUCACUCUAAAAAAAAAAUUAAAAAAACAUUAGGCUAUCCUGGACCUUGCUGUUUUUAUGUCUUUCAAAACAGCAUCAAAAGUAUAUUUACAGUAUAAACCACACCGUAGGUGUGUUUUUUUGUAUUUUUUAGAAGGAAAGACACUUUAAAAACAUUUCUCCAUUUUGAUAAUGGCAGCCAUGUUGGUCACAAACAGCAAUCAAGGGAAACAUCUGUUAGGUUUUUUUACAUUCAUUUCAAAGGCGACAGAUGUUCGAUGGAAGUUGAGUUCAUUUCUGUUUAUCUCAAUCUGGUGACGUGUGAGGCACAAUAUCAAGUAUCGAAAAGGUCUCAUAACAACAAACUGCAGUCUACAGCAUCUUAGAAUUCACAGUCGGCACUCCUUCUAAAGCUUACUGUCAAAAUGGCUGCCAAUGUGGUUCCCCCUGAACACUCGUACUCCAAUGGGGAAGCCAGGCUACUUCUUACGUGUCCACACACAUACCACCACACCUGUCGGACUUGGGAGUGGGAGUUACACCCCCGUUUAAAACCAGCACACACUCCUCGAAGAUCGUAGCCGACGCAUGCUUCAGGCCGAACGGCCUUGUUACCAAACCGUAUGAGCCCUCGCCAUUCCUCAACCACCUCUAAAGCCGUGGAAAGAGAAGAGACUGGCAGUGGAAGGUUCCAUUAUCCAAACCCUUAGUAUUCAUGAUGGGAGAUACCACAUCCCCAACAGACGGGGGGAGGGAGGCUCAGACUUUCAGUUCACAGCCUGUUUCCUUCCUUCAAAGCACUUCCGAUGUGGUGGAUGAAAUGGAGGGAUGACGGGAGAAAACCCCCCUGAAGUCAAUAAGCUAAUGGGCCGUUCAAGGGCAGUACGAAACAAGGCAGCAGUAGACUCUUUUCAAGUUGUUUAUUCCGUAACUAAUCUCACAUCUCUUUUGUAUCAGCUAUUCUUCCUUCCCUGGGGGUCAACUCCCAUUUCAGACUGUGUAUGUCCCAAAUGUCACCAUAUUCCCUAUAUAGUGCACUACUUUUGAUCAGAGCCAUAUGGGCCCUGGUUCAAAAGUAGUACUCUAUAAAGGGAAUAGGGUUCCAUUUGGGAUGACAACCACUGACACUUUCCAGCUGUUUCUGCUUCCUCAUCUCGUGAUCCCUCAAUCGAAAUGGGUCUAAAUAGCACACACCUGUCUGGCUGCUUGUGUUUGGAACGAGCUGAUCCUAGAUCAUCGUGAACUCACUUGGUGCCACCUUGAAGAUGUAUGUGCCCUGACCUCCAAACAGGCCAUGGAGAGUCCCAAGUUACCAUUUCUAUGUCUUGUCUCACUGUGGAAAUACUAUCCUGUUUGUAAAACUUUUUUUUUUCUGACGUUGAACCUCUGUUUUCCUUUUUCUUUGUUACCACCUAAGAUGGGAAUAUUGGUGUAUAUGAAACAGCCGACAUAGAGAAAACAAGCUCUAUUUCUCGCCAUGUAGAGGCUUCUCUAACAUUUUUAAUUGAAGACAUUCAUCUGAUGAAAACAAGAAAAGCACUCCGAAGUCCUUCCACAGGAAAAUAACCGAGGAUGGACUUGGAGAAUGUGAAAACUGUUAAAGGGCAUAUUUAACCUAAGUGUACUGACCAUCCACACCGCAACCUCCCCCCUCUCUCCCCCAAUGGUUUGUCAAGAAGGUUGGAUCACAUGCAUCUCUCAACUCAUAGGCCCCCUAUAAAGGAUUAAGUCAAAUGCUUUUGAGUUUUCCACUGCAUCAAGUAAACAUGUUGUGGUCUAGAACAGUAAAUCAGAAAGUCAAAGUUGAGGAAUCUUUAUUUUAAAUUGGGGUUUGUAUGAAGAUUUUUUUUAGGAACUUGCAUUUUUAUCAUAUUUGGAACUCUUCUAAACUAAUAAUUGUGUCGAGGCAGUACUGUUUGUUGGGGGGGGAGAACAUUUUUGGAGUUGUCACUGGUGCUCUUAGUUAAUAUCUCUUAAAGAUCAACUUAAUAGUAGGGGGUGCCUUAGGUUUGAAGAGGGGUUGGGGUAAAUUUCAUUUUAGUUUUGGAAGUGAACUGAAAUUUUCAUUUUCAAUGGAGUUUUAGUUUACUUCCUGAAUUGAAAUGGGAAUAACCGAAACCCUGGUUUGAAGUGCCAACAGCUUUUUCGGAGGUGGACUGAGUUGAGAGAUGAGGUGACCGAAGCCUGUUUGUCAGUCCUAUUCACAGACCUGUUUGCAUUUCAAACCAUGCACUCCAGUUUCUAUUCUUACAUACAUCGUCCACCAUUUGUAUUUCAUAUUGUAUAAUAUGGCUGUCAAUAUACAAAGAGAUUUUAGAGGUUUUUAGAGCAUUAGUACUUUUAUUUUUGUCCAUUUUUAACCAGCAACUAAGCCUACCUGUACAUUCAAUAGAUAUUCUCUAUCUUUUGUCAAAGUGAACUCUACAUUUAGGUAAAAUUGCCCUUUAUAUUAAAAGUGCUGCAUAUUGUGUGCAUAUUGAUUUAAAACGGGGUGGAGAAUGUUGACUCUUCUUGAAGAUUUUCUUUUUUAAAGAACCAACCAGUUCUACACAUCUCUUAAUAACUUCAUCACAAUAUCUGUUUUUAUUUAUUCAUAUCGCUGAAAAUAUUACAUUUUUUAGUAAAUGUAAGAGGAAACAUAACUGGGGAAAAAUACUAUGUUUUUAACAGAUUGUGGCAACUCUUAAGAGAUCCUUUUUUGUACUUGAUAGGACAUUUCAUCCAAGAUAAUAAAGUCAUGUUUUUGACAUUGA
Molecule: RNA transcript, 11779 nt
Organism: Oncorhynchus kisutch (coho salmon)
Lineage: Eukaryota; Metazoa; Chordata; Actinopteri; Salmoniformes; Salmonidae
Gene name: nucleosome-remodeling factor subunit BPTF
Exons: 33
Source: RefSeq, a predicted model, not a curated record